Etheostoma spectabile (orangethroat darter) is the source of this 118-nucleotide long non-coding RNA. RefSeq lists it as uncharacterized. The transcript is spliced from 3 exons. The record is from RefSeq and is a predicted model, not a curated record. Lineage: Eukaryota; Metazoa; Chordata; Actinopteri; Perciformes; Percidae.
GAACCAUAGACUGUAAACAUAAUGGACAAAGCUUCUGGGUCUGAAAAGUGAAGCCAAUGCGGAAGUGCCUUAAACCUCAAGUCUGUCUAAUUUCCAGCAGGGGGCGACUCCACUGGUU